Taeniopygia guttata (zebra finch) is the source of this 10408-nucleotide non-coding RNA. The record is from RefSeq and is a predicted model, not a curated record. Lineage: Eukaryota; Metazoa; Chordata; Aves; Passeriformes; Estrildidae.
GAAGUCAAAGUGAUAACUCACUUGUAUGUCUAUGAACACAGCCCUACUAACUUUGCCUCUAGCGAUUUCCUCUUUGUUUAAAGCAUAGUAAGCAUAGCCUGUGUGGUGUGCUUAUAGCACACGGAGACAUCUAGCGCCUAAAUAUUAGACUGCAAAUCAGCUUCCGAAAUCUUGGAGAUCACAGUCAGAUCCAUUGCUUGCAAUGUUCCACCCCAGUACUGCAGGGUGCGGAGCAGUUUUACUGCAAACCAUCGCACCACUGAAUAGCAGCUGCCCGUGGAAGGCAGCACAGGCAGGGAGCCCAGUGGAAUGAGCAGCUGCACUAGCUCAGGAGGGGACUGUGACUGCAGCUCUGCUGCACAGCUUGAGCUUCAGGCCUGAAAGGUAUAGCAGUAAUUGACUCAAGUCAGAGAUUUGCCUGUAUAGGCACAAAACAGGUUGAGACAGUUCCUAACUUGCCUUUGUCACUAAACCACAGAGAGGAAAGCCUGUAGGUAUAUGAAUAAGACAAUCUCAUCUUGGUUUUACAGUGUGUCUCUACUUCUAUUCUCUCUUUGUUAGGCCAGGAGCACAAUCAUUCUAACACGUGUAAUUGUAAAACUUUGCCUCUUUUUAACAAACAUAUACAAACUGAAUACUUACGUUUGCCAAUUACUUUGGCUGAAAUUAAACUGAAGGUAAGCACUGCUUAUCUACUAGAAAGCUAUUAGUCCAAGAACAGAAAGUAUUUACUUUUUUUAUAUACUUGUCUAAAGAAAGAGUAAAUACAGACUGCUGACCAACAUUCUCAGCCAGAAGCCUGAGAAAAAGGUCAUUUCAGUGAUACUCAAGUGCAGAUGUUUUUGCCAGUACUACUGUAUGGGGGCAUAAAGUAAAACAUUUCUACGUACUUAAAUAGUCUGAAAGGAAAUAUAUUGCAUUAGGUAUUUGUGUAGGAGAAAAAAAAAAAAAGUAGGAGUGCACAUGUAUGUAUAUUUUAGACUUCCCAUAUAAUACAUUAUUUUCAGUCUCAGGCAGGUCACAAACACCUUUGAGCUAUAAAAGCACUAGAUCAUAAGACCAUAGAAAAAUUAAGGCUUGAAAAGACCUUUAAGAUCAUUAAGUCCAGCUGUCAACCCAGCACCCACAAGCAUGUUCACCAUUAAACCAUGUCCUCAAGCACCAUAUCCACAGGUUUUUUUUAACACUUCCAGGGAUAGUGACUGCAACAAGCUUUACAAACCUUUCUGUCAAAAAAGAAAAUCCAAAAACUGAAUCUAAAACUCCUCUGGUGCAAAUGAAGCUAUUUCCUCUCAUCCUGCCACUUGUUACCCAGGAGAAAAGACUGACACUCAUCUCACUAUGACCUCCUUUCAGGUUGCUGUAGAUCUCUUACAGAAUGGAAUCGUCAUCAAACAAAAAUAAUGUUUUUAAAUAAUGGAUACAUUUGAAUAAAACAAUUCCCAAAUGCCGUAAGUAUGCAAAAUGCUGGACUUUGAAAUUUCUUGAGUAUUUGAAAUCUCUCUAUCAAACUCAAAUGAUGCACUAAAGCCUUACUGCAUCUCCAUCCAGUAUCAACAUGCUGCUUUGGGUUUCAGCAGACAAAAUGUUGGUAAAGUGUAUAAACCAAAGUUUAAAAAUUACAAAAGAUGGACUUGAAAGAGAUAAUUGAUUAGACUAUGGUCUAAUGAUUUUAAAAUAAGCAAAGAAGGAAGCAGCUUUUGUCCUUCUGAAUAAAAAGAGGUACUAAGAGAGAGGAGGGAGCAAGUUAGGAAGCAACAGAUGCGAGUAAGUAAGUAUAGGCAGUUACCAGUUAAAAUUAUGUCCUAUUGUCUCAAUUCCAAUGCAGAUCCUUAGAAAAUAUUGUAGUUGGUCUAUUUAGAUAAGAGAGCAAAUGUACCUAUUUCUUGCCCUAUUUAAGCCUUUCUUGCAUAAAUCCCAGGUACUCUGUGGUAAUACCUUUUCCAUACAGUAGCCAUGUUUUAAAUUAUCAUAAAAACCCUACAGAUUUCUAAUUAACAUUCUGGAAGUUUAGAACUUGUGUCAAAAUAAAAGUUAAAUUAAUAAAAUAAUGCAAACAAUGCCUAGGCUGGGGGAAAGUUUGCUCUUGGUAAAAACUUGAUCUUUGACAUAUUGUGUUUCAACCAAAGGUAACAGCAGUUAAUAAAAUGUAACAACAGUUUGAGGGAGAAGAGGAGAGUACAAAAUGCAUACUGGGGGAAUGUAGAGGUAAUUUUUAACCAAAUUUAGUCGGGAGCAGAUUUAGUGCAUCAUCUUUCCCUGCUCACUGAAAAGCCAAUAAGUUUUGGGGUUUUUUUCUGCAUGUCAAGACAACCCAUAUGCAACUCAUUUACUUUUUGCAGGUUUACAAAACAGUGUGACCUAUUGCAGAGUUCUGGUAAAUCCUACCUGUCAUUCUCCUCUGCCACUUUGUAUGUUUCCAAAAUUUUGACAGUGGAGAAACUUGUCAGAAUUUUAAGAUUCUGGGUCAUAUAAAGAUGAAAAACUGUUGAAAACCAACAAAACCUGAUAUAUUUUUAGUGGCUUUUAGAUUUCCUCCUCAGUAAUCAAUUGCUGAUAGCAAAUCAGCAAAACUCUUAAAAAAAACUUGUGUUCAUGGAGUAUUAUAGGCUGCACUGAAGGGUGAAAGGAGAAUUAAUAUAUUGGGGUUUUAAAAGAAUAGUUGAAAAUAAGUAUAAAGAACAAAUAAGAAUGGGAGGAGGAAGCGGAUAUGCAUAGAUGGAACACAUGAAUGAGAGUGCAUAGCUGAGACAAAAGGAAAAAAGAAGAAAACAGCAAAAUCACAAAGCUGAUAUGAGUACAAGAAAGCUGUAUUUUGCCUUUUACACAUCUAAAGUGCAGUUUGAUGAAAGACAAAAUGCAACAAAGCCAUAUUGCAUCAAUUUUAAGUAUCAUCAGAAUAGAAGUCACAAUUCCCUACCAAAUCAAUUCAUCCAUUUACAUUAAGAAACACAGAUACUACUUUCCUGUUGUGUUUAGAUUUUAUUUCAACAUUAUUAAAAAACAUUUGAUUGUGAUUGUCUUUUUUAUUUAAAAAUGUUUUCCUUGGGAAAGCUUCUCACAUCAAGUGUCCACCUUCCAAGUCACUUCAAUAUUUAUUUUGAUGUGAAUUGGGUUGACAUUUACAUCAAUUUUACAAGCUAAGUGCAACAGUAAAUUUGCCUUGCAUUUAAGGUAAAUAUUGAUGGAAACUGAUUGGCAAAUGAGUGACCAGAAACAUAACCAUAAGGACUGCUGGUUCUAGUUGCUUAUUUGGUCAAUAAACAUAAACAAUAUGUAAACAAAAAUAAUAUGUAACAGUGUUUGCAAUAUGUAGUCAGAUCCAUGGGAGUUGAAUUUGGAGUGCUGUGCUCAUGAGAUGAGCACCUUUUAAGACCUGUCAGAAAGUUAUGAUUAUGAAUAAGGCAGACUAAAAAUUGUUAAGUGCACAAUUUCCGACAAAUUGCCUGCUAGACUUUGGUGGAGACUAUUUGAAAUAUCUAUGACCAUUUGCUUUUCAUCUCAUAUGCCUGGUGUAAUUGCUUUUAGAUUGUUCACACAAUGUUUCUAUGUGAUAAAUUUAAGGCCUCAAUUUUUUGUUUUGUUUUUAUCUUAACAGAGAAUGAUUUUGGUUAAAACCCUGUGAAUUUUACAAGAAGAGCAGAGCUUAAGGCACAGAUUUCUGAUUUGCAUCCACAUACUAGUAAGCCAGAAACAUGACAAAAUUGAGUUCCUUUAAUUUUUCAGAGAGACAGAGAGUCUGACUUCCACUGUAGAGAAAUGCAUUUUAACUGGUCUGCUCUUAUGGUUACUUAUUAUCUAUCUGACUGAAGAGAAAUAUAAAUAUUUUCACAAGGUGAAAUGCUCCGGAAUAUUACUUAUUUUGAAAGCAUUUAAACAUUUGGAAAACAAUAAAGUUGUAAUGCUCCUAAAUUAGUGCCAAAACCAGAUAUGGAAAGUUCUAAAACCCUGUAUUCACUAGUACCUCAUUUUGUCCCAGAAGAAACAUAUGUAGGUAGGAACAAUGUGUAUUUGAAAUUAUUAAAGUCAAACUGUAACAUUAGGACACUAAGAUAACAUUGUUUUCCAUGGCAUUAAAACCACAUAAAAACAGAGCUCUCCAUGAAACACAAGAAGAUACAUUUCUUACACAUGAUUAUUUGCUUAUGUAAAUCUUCUUACAAAGCUUUUGAACUUGUCUAUUCACAUUUACACCAUAGUACUCAAAAUGUCAUUCUUUUAUAAAAACUUCUGUGAAAUUCAACAGAAACACAAUUGACAAAUGUUUAAGUAAUAUUUUAGAAUAAGGCACUUAUGCUUACCUUGUUUUGUAACAAAGUAAUAACAUGCGUAUGUAAAAUCAGAGGGGAUUGUUUCCAGUAAAUUUUCAGUUUUCUGCCAACAGAGCGUGUCACCAAAUGACGGACUGAACCUUUUUCCUUUUUGGAAGCACAAAUACAAAUGUGAAUCACAGUUACAGGAAAAGUUAUCUGUUGGAUUACGUGCAUAGGAUAUCAUCCUGACCUUUUGGGGUUUUUUUAACAAAAAAGCCCCAGGAACUGAAGUGUCUAAUAUGAAUGACAGCCAAAUGCAAAAACAAUAAGUAUUUGUUUGCCCAAGAGAAAUGAAUACUUUGAUUUUCUGAGAUGCAUUUGCAAUCCUGAAGAACAUAGUCCUUAAACAAUUGGUUUAGGUUGAGAUAUUCAAUAAUCCUAAAAGUCAUUCUACUUUUAAAAAUCAGUUCUUUAAACAAGAGACUGAGGUGAAAGCACCAUGAUCAUUACUGGUUUUGCAGAUCUGUUUCUUUACAAAAAACAUAAAUUAACAUUAAAAUAGGACUCUACACUAAAGCAGAGAUUCAUCUAGCAAAGUACCUUCUUUCCAACAGCUGUUGACAAGACAUUACAAGAAUAUACUUUAAAAAGUUAAGUAAACAUACAUCAAAACUUGAUAGACUACUUCCCGUUCUUCAAGUGAUUUGAAGUUCAGUGUUACCAUUGAUAUGCUUCUUUUUACCAGCUUCUUUUAAAGAACCUGUUGCUUUCUGAACUAUGUAAGUUCCUAACAUCCAUGAUGUCCUGUGACAAGGAACUCUGUAGUAGCUACACGGGGCAUAUUAGUUACAAGAAGCGUAUCUUGUACCAAGAAAUAUCUCUUUCAGAGGUUCCACUUAUCCCAUAUGAUUCCCCAUAGUUCUUACGCUGAAAGUUAGUCCCUAUUCACCUUUUCCAUCCUUUUCACACUCCAUCAAGUUCUCUCAUGCCCAUCUCUUUUGAGAUAAUAAUAAAUGUAUUAACAGAACAUAUUUCUCUGUUCCUUUCAUGGAAACUCUUUCGCGUUUCAGCAUCUUUAUUUUCCUUUUGCCAAUUUUGGUGCCCAUUUUUUUAAAGAAGACAGAAGGAGAAUUCCAGUAUCCUCCAGAAUAUGGGUACCUUAGAUUAAAAAAAGUGCUUUCUUUUCAUCGUAUUUUCUCUCUAAAUCAUAUCUGAAUUCUUUUUGCUUUGUUGGUCACCAUUGAAUAUUGCAUUGAUGUUUCCUUAGUAGUAUUUCUGAACAUUAACUCUUUAGAGCCUGUAAUUGUGUACAUAAACUUCACUUUGGAUUUCCCAACAACCUGUAAGUACCAUAUGCUAUCACAAUCACAUCAGCAAGCUUUUAAGAAGAGCUGCAUUUCUGAUUGUUCAUGUUCUGCUCUCAACAGCAAGUUCCUGUUCUGUGUCAAUUGCAAACUAGGAGCCAUGCAAAAAUUAUAACCUUUGCCAUAUACCAGCCCUUUGAAAAAAAUAGGCCAUCAGUUCCCUAUUUUCUUCUCAAGUACUGUAAUUUGAUUUUAGGUAAGCAAUGAGAAAAAAAAAAAAAGACAGGAAAAAUACCUAUCAAAAUCUAUAAUGUGCUGAAGGCAAGACAACCUUCUCAGUGCAAGCUUGCCAUUCUUUUUACACAUAAGGCUACUCAGUCAGGGAAGUUCUUUUCUGCUGACUAUAAUUUUCCUUCAAGUUCUCUUGCUACCAAUCUUAGGUUUCUCUCUUGUUUUUUUGGUUCCACUCCCUUAGUUUUUUUGCUGUAGGAGCAUAUUUAUUAAGCCAUGCAGUUGUACAUGUUGAAUUGACAUUUUAUACUUAAGUCUUACUUCUGCAAAAUUCCAUGGAACAAGCUGCAUGGAAAAGUGAGGACAAAAAGAAAGAAGAAGACUACAGGUAGAAACAUUGUUCAUGUUUGUACAACUAACUCUAACAGGAAAGAUAUAACUUAGACAAUGAUUUUUCAACUGAAACUUCAAGCUGAGCACAGUGAAGAUAUAAUAUCUGUCCAAGCAAUUUUCUCCAUUCUGAGUUAGACAGAGCACAGACUUUAUAGAGAUUAAAAACUUAACUGAAGUCAGUUCCUGGGAAAAAACAAUGCCAGAGUUGGGGGAGGGUGUCUAGAACAAAAAUACCGCAACCAAGCCUCUAGGAACUCAGAGGUCUUGCUGGUUUUUUUGUAUAAUAGAGGCUGUCUAAAAGACAAUAUGGACAAUAUUCUCCAUAAAGCCUGAUGUUUCCCACCCUAUAUUUACACUUUUUACAAGCAUAAGGAAUUAUCAACGCUGCUGAGUAACACAGUGAUUCAAACUUUUCAUGGGUUCAGAAUAAAAUCCAUAUGAGGUCAAAACAAUGCAGCAGCUUUCAUCAGCCCCUGCUGCAAGGGUGGAUUUAUGCAAGCUUUGGUUUAAACUUCCACCUGUACGUGGACCAGAUUCAUACUGGACAGGCUGGUCAGAACAAAAAGCUGCAUGAGACUGUGAAAAUUUGUGUCUUCUCCUUGAAGCACUCAGCAAUUGGAUAUAAACUCUUAGACAUUUACAUUCUCUAACCAAAAAGACAAAGAGCAGGAUACAGUAAUUUCCCAAAUUUAUAGAUGCCUUAAGUCAAAUUUCUUACUAUGUAAAAAGGACUAUUAUAUGGUUAUAGAUUGUUAUUGUAUUUUAUUUGUUAUGUAAUUAACACUUUUUACAUUACUGUUUUAAAUCAUACACCCUUCAGGAGAUAAAAAUAAAAUGAUACCUGAGAGAAAAAGACCUGCAGAGGGAGGGACAGGAGGUGUUCCAGGUGCUGGAGCAGCGAUUCCUCUGUAGCCCUGGUGCAGUUCAUGGUGCCCCUGCAGCCCAUGGAGAUCCACAGGAGAGCAGAGAUCCACUUGUAGCUCCACCUGUAGCUCCGGAAGCUUCAGCCUGGAGCAGGGUGAUGCCUGAAGGAUGCUGUGAUCCUGUGGGAAGCCUGCACUGGAACAGAUUUGUGUCAGUCGAGGAGUGAUAGAGUGGCUGAAUGGACACUGGACAUCCAGCCAAGGUCAAGCCACCAGAAUUAGAUAUUAACUUAAUCUUUGUGGUGUGUCAUUUAAACAGAAAGACUUUAAAAGAGGCUUCCGUUCCUUUUGCUUUUUUUAAUAACCACUUACCUUUGCUCAGCUUCAUAAGUCUCUCACAUGAAACCAGGGAAAGAAGACAGAGAUCUUUGAGAGAUUUUUUGGAUCAGAGAAAUGUGACAAUAAAUUAUAAAUUUUCUGAAAGCCAGAGUAUGCAGAAAUCACAUUAAUUUUUUAAAUUUAUUCCACCAUGCAAGGUAUUGACUUCAUGUACAGAUAAUUAAUUAAAAUCAGACACAAAUGGACACAAAUAUCUUUGCAUGCUGUUAUUUAGGACCUCUUCUCAUAGAAUAUUUUUGAAUUUGACCCAUCUAGGUUGUGUAACAAAUACUCAUGAAACUGUUGCUAUAUACAUAUCUAAAGGAUAAUUCAGUAGUAAUGACUCUGCUUUUUUUAAAGUACAAAGCUUUAUUUGGUCUUCAGAGUUUAAACUUUGAUUUAUAUUCAUCUCUCAUCCCCCCAAAAAGGAAUCCUAUUUUUUCUGAUGUAUUUAUGAUCCAGUGUCUAAGCUUCUUGCAAUAUAUAUAUAUAUAUCUUGCAAGAAACAAAUAUAUUCAAAGAAUUUUAAUAUCUGUCUUGGAAUGCCUGGAGCUCUACAAUUAAGUUUCAAAAUAUGCAUAUCAACUUAAUAACAGAGAUUGCUGACUGGUAUAACAAAAGACAUGAGAUGUGAAUGGCUCUUGUAUGUCUCAUGUGUGCUAAACCUGAAACUAAAUAACCACAUUUUAAAGGGAAAUAUUAGUAAACACUUUAUUACUAAUUGGAAAAAUGAAUGUUAGUGUGGCUAAUAACUCCUCAGAACUAUUGGUUUGUGCCAUAUUCCAAUCCAAAUCUGGAGUGGAACACAUACUUCCUUGCUGACUGGAAUUGCUUGCCAGUUGAAUGGAAUUUCUUCCUCUCUUUUACUGAAUUUAAUUUUUAUGCUGGCAUCCAUGCUGUCCUUUUCACUAGCCAUAUUUUCAAAUGUUUCCUCAAUGAGGACAGCAGACAAUUACAACCUUUUUCUUUCUUUUUUUGUGAAUAAAAUUCCGACUUUUUCAUAUGUAGCUGACGACACCCAAAAUUUGACAGGAGGUCUGUAGUUUUCUUUGGACUAGUCUUGAGCUAGAACUCAAGUUAGACAAGUAUUUAAGAUCUGAAUAGAACUGUUAGGUGAAUGCAGAUUUCUUGGACAUGAACAUGGCUAUGGAAUAAGAGAGCACAGAAAAAGAUGGUUCCUAGACUUUACACAGGAACUAGAAGAAACAAAACUUUUAGCACAAUGGACUGGGUAAAUCUAAAGCAGCAGACUGCUACAUCUGAUCUCUGGCUGACACAAACAUAUUUCAUCUUUCUUUUUAAUCUCCUCUGAAAUACAAAUGGGUUAAACUCAGAAGGCAAAGCUGUGAUCUCCCAUGUUAUAUACAUCAAGGUACUGACUGGUUACAACCUUAUGCAACCUGUCCUUGACAGCCUCAAGACCCAUCUUGCAGAAUUUCAAAUUGGUCCUGCAAAGAACAGCACCAUAAAUCAAUGUGGAAACUCAAGCUUAUGUGGUGUUGACCGCUUUCAUGACACUUUCAUUAUUUUGAAGUUUAAUAACAUGUGCCUUACAGUCUCUAUACCCCCUUAUUAUCUUUAGAAUGCUAUGGUUACAUCAGAAUCUAAGCUUUCUUUUAAAAAUAAAGUACUUUAGCUUCUGUUUUGAAGUUGGAGUUUGGAAAUACAACUUUCGUGUCCACUGACAGUUCAAAACACAGGAGGUCAAUUAAAAGGACCAGGCUUGGGUUAGCUUGUGUUAUGGGAGACGCAUAGACUCAAGACUUUUUGUGGUCCAACAUAUGUUUUCAGUAUAUCAGACUGGGAUAUUAAAGAGUUUACUGUCCCUCCCUUUUUGAAAACACUCAUAAACUUCCGCUGUAAAACAGAUCUCAUACAAAACUUUAUAGAAUGCAUUCUAUUUACAACUAAAUCUAAAAACCAGCUCUGUAGGCCUCUUUUUCUUUCUGAAGUUUAUCUGAUUGAUAAUGAUCUAGGUCACAAUGCAGUAGGGUCUUCCUACAGCUCUGCCAAUAUUGUCUCACAAACAGUACUAUCAUUAAAUACUACUUAAAGGAUAGCAGAGGCCCAACAGGAUACAGAUCCUUUUAUGUUUUAAUGAACUUCAACCAGCACUCCAGCAGAUUAAAAGAAUGGUGGAUUUGUGUUUAUAAAGUGAGUUGAAAACAAAGUACAGGGGAACUGCCUGAUGCCACCAUAGGGAAGCAUACUGAAGACAAGCAAUCUUCUCAAUCCAAGUCAAUGCAAACUGGUGCCUGUUUUGUAACCAUUACUGUCUUUUCUAAUAUUCCCAGCAGAAAGGUCAGGCACAGGGAGAUUAAACACACCUUUUUGGGAUCUCUCCAUUCUGGUCCUUAAGCCACUGACAUAGCCACUGGUCAAUAGCACUGAUGGAUUCUUACAAGGAAACCUCCCCACCAACACUAGAAUCCAAUUACAUACUUGAAAUCUGUAGGUCUCCUUUGGCUGUAACUGGACUAGAAUCUUCUAAAGUCGUGGCCACUGCUUUCAGUAAGUUGUGCUUUUAUUUUUGGAAACCAUAAUUUUUUUCCUUGUAGCUGGUAAAUAUAAGACAAUAGAAUGUAGAAAAUCCAGGAUGAAUAACUAUUUUUGUCAAUUAUUUUGACUGGUCCUGACCAGCUAUUUCUGAACCCAUUUCUGUCAGUGCUGUAAAAUACUUAUGAAGAGCUGAGGCAGCUCUGCAUCUUGUGAUAAGGAGGCCACCUCUUCAUAUUACUCACCAAAGCCAUCAGAAAUGUAAGCAAUAUCUUUGGAGAGAGCUCAUCACAAAGCUUUAGACUUAGCAUUAGGGUCUAGUCCAGUGCGCUCCGAUCUGUGUGUGUGGCAGGGAAAUGUACAAUCCAGGAUGUGUGCCAGACAAUACACUGGAUUGAAGAUAUAUGGGUUCUAGCAUUAAAAAUUAAAAUAAAAUAAAAUAAAAUAAAAUAAAAUAAAAUAAAAUAAAAUAAAAUAAAAUAAAACAAAA